Molecule: ribosomal RNA, 1517 nt
Filed under: Pseudomonas aeruginosa
Lineage: Bacteria; Pseudomonadati; Pseudomonadota; Gammaproteobacteria; Pseudomonadales; Pseudomonadaceae
Description: bacterial SSU rRNA
Rfam family: Bacterial small subunit ribosomal RNA
Source: RNAcentral
UUUUUUUAUAUAAAAUUUUUUCACUGUCAGAAUGAACGCUGGCGGCAGGCCUAACAACAUGCAAGUCGAGCGGAUGAACGGGAGCUUGCUCCUGGAGUCAGCGGCGGACGGGUGAGUAAUGCCUUGGAAUCUGCCUGGUAGUGGGGGAUAACGUCCGGAAACGGGCGCUAAUACCGCAUACGUCCUGAGGGAGAAAGUGGGGGAUUUUUUAGACCUCACGCUAUCAGAUGAGCCUAGGUUGGAUUAGGUAGUUGGUGGGGUAAAGGCCUACCAAGGGGACGAUUCGUAAGUGGUUUGAGAGGAUGAUCAGUCACACUGGAAAUGAGACCCGGUCCAGAAUUCUUCGGGAGGCAGCCGUGGGGAAUUUUGGACAAUGGGGGAAAGCCUGAUCCAGCCAUUCCGGGUGUGUGAAGAAGGUCUUCGGAUUGUAAAGCCCUUUAAGUCGGGAGGAAGGGCAGUAAGUUAAUUCCCUGCUGUUUUGACGUUACCAACAGAAUAAGCCCCGGCUAAAUUCGUGCCAGCAGCCGCGGUAAUACGAAGGGUGCCAGCGUUAAUUGGAAUUACUGGGCGUAAAGCGCGCGUAGGUGGUUCAGCAAGUUGGAUGUGAAAUCCCCGGGCUCAACCUGGGAAAUGCAUCCAAAAAUACUGAGGUAGAGUACGGUAGAGGGGGGUGGAAUUUCCUGUGUAGCGGUGAAAUGGGUAGAUAUAGGAAGGAACACCAGUGGGGAAGGCGACCACCUGGAGUGAUACUGACAGUGAGGUCAGAAAGGGUGGGGAGCAAACAGGAUUAGAUUCCCUGGUAGUUCCCGCCGUAAGGGACGAUGUUGACUAGCCGUUGGGAUCCUUGAGAUCUUAGUGGCGCAGCUAACGCGAUAAGUCGACCGCCGGUGGAGUACGGCCGCACAAGUUAAAACUCAAAUGAAUUGACGGGAGCCCGCACAACCGGGGAAGCAUGUGAUUUAAUUCAAACCAACCCGAAAAACCUUACCUGGCCUUGACAUGCUGAAAACUUUCCAAAAAUGGAUUGGUGCCUUCGGGAACUCAGACACAGGUGCUGCAUGGCUGUCGUCAGCUCGUGUCGUGAGAUGUUGGGUUAAGUCCCGUAACGAGCGCAACCCUUGUCCUUAGUUACCAGCACCUCGGGUGGGCACUCUAAGGAGACUGCCGGUGACAAACCGGAUGAAGGUGGGGAUGACGUCAAGUCAUCAUGGCCCUUACGGCCAGGGCUACACACGUGCUACAAUGGUCGGUACAAAGGGUUGCCAAGCCGCGAAGUGGAGCUAAUCCCAUAAAACCGAUCGUAGACCGGAUCCCAGUCUGCAACUCCACUGCGUGAAAUCGGAAUCGCUAGUAAUCGUGAAUCAGAAUGUCACGGUGAAUACCUUCCCGGGCCUUGUACACCCCGCCCGUCACACCAUGGGAGUGGGUUGCUCCAGAAGUAGCUAGUCUAACCGCAAGGGGGACGGUUACCACGGAGUGAUUCAUGACUGGGGUGAAGCGUAAAAACGAAAACCAAA